GGAAAACAAAAUUCAAUCUUUGUGACUCAGAUCAGCUAUGAUAUAAUCUUACAAAUUACUUGAGCAAAAAUAUUGAAAUACUUUUUAAUUACUUAAACAUAUGUAUUUAACAUACUUUUCAAAAUUAGUAUCUGUACUUGAAUAUUUUUUAAAAGUAUUUUUUACAAAGACGGUCUAGUUAUGACUUAUGAAUUACAUUUGCUUAAAAUUGGAGCUCAUACAACUACAUAAGAUCUAAUUUUUAAAGUCAAUGGAAAUUUCGUAUUGUAACGAUAACUUUAUUACUACGCUACAAAAGUUCAUAAGUCAUAAUUCAUAACUACCUAAAAGUCUAUAAAUAUCAUAUUAACUGCAACAAUUAAUUAUUUAAUUAUUUAUUUACUAUAUUAAUUAAUAUUUUAUUUUACUAUAUCAUUCAUGAAUCCAAUAACAACCAAACACUGCCUUUUGUAUCAUAAUCAUUGGCGCAACUAAGGGGGUGCACAGGGGACUUGUGCACCCCUCCCCCCCAAAAAAAAAAAUAAAAAAAAAUAAACCUUUUUCAAUAAAAUGUUGUACAAUCAUGUAUAUUGAGCAAAAUAGAUAAGCAUUAUGUUCUCAGCUUUACGUUUAUAUUAAAUAUACUUUAUAGACAUAUAAUAUUGUAUAGGUAAUAAUAUAUACAAAUGUAUAUACAAUGUGUUUCGGUGGCAAGUGACAGGCCGACAUCAUAAUAUAAAAAAUACCAAAAAUGAUGAAAAAAACCCUUUAAAGUUUAUGUUGAAUGUAAACAAAACACCCUAUAGUAUGUUGGUUAUAAGUAAAAUUAUUCACACUGUAGUACAGCAGAAAUAGUACGCUGAAUAGACAUUUUGUAAUACUAUAGCAUAUUCGUUCUAUUCGUUCUAUGUAGUAGCACUAGUAGCCUGUAGGACGAUGAUAGACAAUUUAUAGUCGUUGUUUUAUAUUACGCCUCAGAGCACUAUAGUUAUUCAUAUCAAUUAUACAUAUUGACAUAUUGUUAUUUGUUAUAUUAUUAUACAUAUUUACAUGUAUCCGAUCUUAUUAUUAUUUACCUUUAGCUUCUGUAUAUCUGGUGUACUUCAACAGUUUAAAGAGUGGGUGUAACAGUUAGACUCUAACUUUUUUAUUUAUUAAAUCAUUGACAAUUAACUUUUAUUUAUCAAAACCAAACGCAUUUUUAUUACGUAUUUUUAUAUGUAUCUUCAAAACUUUUCAACAUUUUGACGUAGUUUUUUUAUUUUAAAGUUAUUUAAGUGCCCUAGGUAUCAACCAACAUACACGACUAAACCGUAAAUGUACAAAUUAUUAUUAUUAAUUUAAAAAAGCGGGCCAGUAAGUGGAUGUCGCUCUGCUGUACAGUACCUAGUUUACAAGUAUGGAUGGUAUUAAAUUUGAAUUCAAUGAUAUAAUAUCAUUGUAUACGAAAAACGAUUCUGAUCGGAGAUGAGAAGUCUCAGUCUUGGAUAUUUUAUACAAUAUUAAUUAUUUAAUUAUAUGAUUAAAAAAAAAAUGUAGGAAUCUAUAAAAUAAAUUCCAAAUUAAUCAAAUUAGAUUCAUUGUGUUACGUGGAACCUUGUAUCAAAUUUUCAAUACUUAGCUAUACAAGUAAACAUUUAAAAAUUGACCAGUAAUAAAUAAUUAAAUUAUUUGGUGUAAUCUUUUUAAAAAUUCUAAUUUUUGAUAAAAAAAUUUUACUUUUUCAAAUUAAUAAACCGGCAGUGCCCAGGCUCGACUGGAAGUUUUUUGGGGGCAUGGUGAAGUUUGCAGAUAUAUUUUAUUAUAAUGAUAUAUAAAUUCGUGGAGACUGGAGAUCAUAUUUGUAUUUAAAUUAAAUCAAAAAUUAUUAUAUGUACUACACUAGUUACACUACACCAAUUUAAAUUGUCUAACAAGAAAAUUUUCUACAAUAUUAUAACUGUAGACAGUAGACAUAGCCACAUAGUUCAAUACAUCUAUGACAUAUCGUAUAUACCUAUUUCAUAUAUAUUUCAUUUUCAUUUAUAGUGUUAACUGUACCUACCUAUUUAGUAAUAGAUUUUAGAUAUAGAUUUUGUAUUUAAGUGUUAUAAUUGAUCUUAAAUGAUAUAAAACAAGUUACCUAUACAUUUUAAUAUUAAAACAAAGUAUAUAUAUUUAGCAGUAGGUGUAUUCACAUUAGCAGUUAUUUCUUUUAUAAGUGUAAUAAUGAGAUCACACACUCAAAAUCAGUUUUGCGGAAAACUAACGUACCUACUAUGAAUAUACGUACGUCAUAAAUUAAUUAUUAUUUAUUACCAAUCUACCAUGAGUAAGACAGCGUGUCUUAAGUUUAUUUUGUGCGCCAUAUACAAUAAGAAUUAACGUUAUAAACUAUUACAAAUAGGUAGGUACCUAUUGCAUAAUUUUGUGUGCCGUGACCUACAGCACUAAGCAGAGGUGUAAGAGUUAAUUUAGUUGUAGACUAUUAUACACAAUCGGUACAACAAGAAGUCUGAAGUUCAAAGCUAACUUGGUAUUUUUUGGCAUAUUAUAUUAUAUUAUAUUAUAAUUCUCUUCAAGAAAGUAGUGUUUUCCUUAUUUCAACUAAAUACUUUGAUAAAAAUGUAUUAACUUUAACCAGGGUUCAGGUUUAAGAACGUUACCAAUUGAAUUUCAAAUAUAUAUUUGAGGUUAUGUUUUGAAUUUCAAGUUUGAAGUUUGAACUGUAAAAACUAAAAGCCAAACGGGCAACGGCCAACAUUUAAAAUUUAUUAUUUUAUUAUUUUCAAACUUUCAAGUUUCAAUUUUUCAAAAAUCAGAUUCAAAUAAUAAUUUAUUUCCAGAGUAGAUUGUGAAAUAAAAUGGCAAUUCAAAAACUGAAAAACAUACCAGGAUGUGGCCCAAUUUCUUGGGCUAUAUACCCAUCUACUCGAUGACCAGCACGCCUUAAAAAUGUGAAUACACGAUUAGGACUUUUAUCUGUAGCAAGGUCCUGAAGGAAGUUCCUAAUUGCAUUAGAGUUUUGAAUUCUUGCUCUAGCUGUUUUAGGUAAAUAAAUCCACGAGGAGUUGUAUAAUGUAAUAUGGUGAAUGGUACACCUACAUUUAAAUUGUUCUUAGCCUGACGAAAUUCAAUAUACUGCUGGUUUUCCAGAAAUUGUAACUGAACUGUAAUAAAUUAAGGUAAGUUAUUUAUUAGAAAUACCUACUAAUAAUAUUAUUAUAUUAUAAUAUCUACAUUAUGAUUUAUAGUUGUUAAUUGAUACUAAGAUAAUAUAAGCUUCUAAGGUUAUCUAGGAUCCUGUAUACUUACCUGAGACACUAACAUAAAGCUUUAAUUGAAGUUCAACAUAGAUUGUAUUGUGCAAUAUAUUUUAGAUACAACAACAUAUACAAGUUUACAACUGCUGGUCCCAUUGUUAUAAACCAAUAAUCCCAAAUGUAAUUGAACAUAAAUUGGUUUAAUUGUAAUGCCAAAUAUGGGAAUUGGUUUACAUAUUCAACUAUGCAAUUAAAACCAUCCUCCAUUGAAGGAAAAAAAUCACCAAUUUGUGUAGCAGGUUCAGUGGAAGAUAUUAGCUAUUUACUUGACAGUAAUGAAAGUAACACCCUUGGUGUUUACUUUCUGGGAAAACUACAUUUACUGCAUUGAUUAGCCCUUGCUCAAAAUCAGUAAUAAUUGUGAGCUGAUCAUAAUUUAAUGGAAGCACAUUUCUAAUGUAAUGAAGUAACUCAACAUAAAUUUGUUGAGUUUUUCCAAUUAGAAGGGCAUGAACUAAAGGGAAGCUCUGGAACAAGAUAAUGUAUUACAUUAUUCUAUAGAAUAUAUUAUGUCAUUUAUUUGUUGAAUUAACAGGAUAUACUAUAUAAGGUUUUAACAGUGAGUAGUGGAAUAAAAUAUUAAUUUAAAUAAUAUGGAUAUUAUUAUUAUUAUUACUUAAUUUGAGUCAUACUAAAUUAUUAUGCUAGUCAUAAUAAAUUAAUAUACUACCUACUACACUACACAGAUAUAUUGAAACUUACAACAUCCUUGAAUACAACUUGGAAAGAAAAUAACUGGUAGGCGUCAUUUUCUAAAAAUUUUGGAACGGUCUUAAAUGUUCCAUCACAUCCUGCUACUCGGACCUAAAAAUUCAUAAUAAUAAUUCAUUAAAUAACAUUCAUAUACAUUAUUGAUUUACUGUGACCAACAUUUCUCAAAUCUGGUGCAAUUAAAUUUAUAUUGGCUACAUUACAAAAAAUGACACCACUCACGGUUCCCUCUACCAGCAAUGGACCUUGAUAAAACCUAUUAAAAUGGGGGAUUUUGUAGUGUCAUUGCAAAACACUCAUUAUCAGCAGCCAUCAAUAAAUCGUGCAAAUUUGCCAUGUUUCGUGGUGUCUGAGGGAAAAACGUUCGUCUUAAACGCCGCAUCCUCUCUACACUCUGUAGAAAUGUAUAAUUCUCUGCAGCCUCUGGAAAACUAAUUCAUACAUCAUAUUAUCAAAAACAAGUAAAUAAGGAUAUCAAAACUAACCAUCACCUAUGCAUAGUUGCAUACCUUUUGUAAAAACUUACAAAAUAAGCAAUAAACUAGUUUAUAGUUAUUUCUUGUCGAAGCAGUGGAACAUUGAGGUCAAAUUCCCUGACACCAUGAAAAUGGCGUUUUGAUAGUGUCAACCUAUUAUCGUUGCGGUCCGAAGAUAUAUGAGCAGUUGCAUGGCACUGUCCUUCCAAUUUUUUUUCGUAACAUGACAAGUAACUAAAAUUACAUGAACCCAAGAUUAUCCCUUAUAAUUUCUGUGCCUCUUUGAAUGCCUAAAACUACAGUGUAGGACUGUGGUCUUGCUACGGCAACCGGAAGCAGAGGUUCUAAUAUUAACAAUUAAAAAUAACAUGUUACCUAAGAAGCAUACUAAAUGGCCAUCCGGAAUCCGUAUCGUGAAUGUAUUAUAAAACUUCUGUACCAGUGGUUUAAUUAAAGAAAAACACUUACAAUCAGGGGCUGUAUUUAAGAUGUGGUCGCUGUUGGCAACAACAUUUUUGCGCUACUGGCUUUGGAUAUAUUUUCUUAUUUCAGUAUUUUUACUCAAUAAUUAUUAUUCACACAAAAUUAAAAAUAAGUGUCUUAUAAUUAAUUAAAUAUAAUUGUAAAUUAUAAUAUAUAACAAACUUUUAUAGAAGACUAAA
Long non-coding RNA from Aphis gossypii (cotton aphid), 5130 nucleotides. RefSeq lists it as uncharacterized. The record is from RefSeq and is a predicted model, not a curated record. The transcript is spliced from 9 exons. NCBI's taxonomy places the organism in Eukaryota, Metazoa, Arthropoda, Insecta, Hemiptera, Aphididae.